RNAcentral lists this ribosomal RNA (1451 nucleotides) under uncultured Bordetella sp. RNAcentral describes it as "partial 16S-23S ribosomal RNA intergenic spacer". It matches the Rfam family "Bacterial small subunit ribosomal RNA". The record is from RNAcentral. Lineage: Bacteria; Pseudomonadati; Pseudomonadota; Betaproteobacteria; Burkholderiales; Alcaligenaceae.
GGUUUGAUCAUGGCUCAGAUUGAACGCUGGCGGGAUGUCUUUACACAUGCAAGUCGAACGGCACGGACUUCGGUCUGGUGGCGGAAGUGGCGAACGGGUGAGUAAUGUAUCGGAACGUGCCUAGUAGCGGGGGAUAACUACGCGAAAGCGUAGCUAAUACCGCAUACGCCCUUCGGGGAAAGCGAGACCUUCGGGCCUCGCGCACUAUUAGAGCAGCCGAUAUCGGAUUAGCUAGUUUGGUGGGGGUAACGGCUCACGAAGCGACGAUCCGCCAGCCCUGGUUUAGGAGGACGACCAGCCACUGGGACUGAGACACGGCCCAGACUCCUACAGGAGGCAGCAGUGGGGAAUUUUGAUUGUCGGGGAAGCUUCGAUCGACAUCCCGCGUGCGAUGAAGGCCUUCGGUUAAAAAACGCUGGCGGCGGCGUGCGGACCGUGGCGUGGCCGUGCCUGUGGGAUGCACCUAUUAUUAACAGCAGCGCAGUGCUACGUGGGGGUGGCGAUAAUCGGAGAUACCUGGCAUCGGCGCGCGCAGGCGUUCAGAAAAAGAAUGGCAAAAUCUCAAAGAGCCAGCACCCACAGGGUUCACCCCAACCUGAGCUAGAGUGUGUCAGAGGGAGGUGGAAUUCCGCGAUGUAGCAGUGAAAUGCGUAGAUAUGCGGAGGAACACCGAUGGCAGACAACCUCCUGGGAUAACACUGACGCUCAUGCACGAAAGCGUGGGAGCAAACAGGAUUAGAUACCUGGUAGUCCACGCCCUAAACGAUGUCAACUAGCUGUUGGGGCCUUCCGGGCCUUGUGGUAGCGCAACUAACGCGUGAAGUUGACCGCCUGGGGAGGUACGGUCGCAAGACAAAACUCAAAGGAAUUGACGGGGACCGCACGAAGCAGUGGAUGAUGUGGAUUAAUUCGAUGCAACGCGAAAAGCCUUCACCUACCCUUGACAUGUCUGGAAUCCCGAAGAGAUUUGGGAGUGCUCGCAAAAGAGAACCGGAACACAGGUGCUGCAUAGCGCUCGUCAGCUCGUCGUCGUGAGAUGUUGGUUAAGUCCCGCAACGAGCGCAACCCUUGUCAUUAGUUGCUACGAAAGGGCACUCUAAUGAGACUGCCGGUGACAAACCGGAGGAAGGUGGGGAUGACGUCAAGUCCUCAUGGCCCUUAUGGGCCAGGGCUUCACACGUCAUACAAUGGUCGGGACAGAGGGUCGCCAACCCGCGAGGGGAGCCAAUCCCAGAAACCCGAUCGUAGUCCGGAUCGCAGUCUGCAACUCGACUGCGUGAAGUCUCGAAUCGCUAGUAAUCGUGGGUCGAUGCCACGGUGAAUACGUUCCCGGGCCUUGUACACACCGCCCGUCACACCAUGGGAGUGGACUGCACCAAGUGGUUAGCCUAACGCAAGAGGGCGAUCACCACGGUGUGGUUCAUGACUGGGGUGAAGUCGUAACAAGGUAG